Long non-coding RNA from Amphiprion ocellaris (clown anemonefish), 401 nucleotides. RefSeq lists it as uncharacterized. The record is from RefSeq and is a predicted model, not a curated record. Lineage: Eukaryota; Metazoa; Chordata; Actinopteri; Pomacentridae. The transcript has 3 exons.
GCCUAAACACACAUGCAGUUUAAAUCACGGAGGAGAAAUGUUAGUUCAGGUUAGAUAAAGCCAGAACCAGAAUAAGUGAAUUGUUUAGUGGUUCAAGAUAAAACCGAGCAGGCUGCAUGUCUACCUGUGUAACCCGUGUAGAGGAGUCCAUCUGGAGUUGGACGGCAUCCUCGAUGGUUCCAAUUUCCAGCCCAUUCCCCAAUUUUCAACCCCAAUGACAGACAACACACACUGGAAUGGCUGUUUAGCUAAAGAAGGGAAUUGUGCAGCUGAGAGUGGAGCUGCUGGCAUCUGUGGUGGCUGGAAGAUGGUUGUCCGUAAUGAACCCUGAUCCGACCUUUGACCUCCUACCCCCGACAACAUCACCAGCUGAGGGCUCACACAGAGGGACUGCUUGUAUG